ACAUCCAACAGUGAGAGAGGAUCCAUCAAUGUGCUUUCUAUCUUGAGUACGUAGCUAGCAGACUUAACACGCUAGUUUACUGUCUAGACACGAUUCUACUGUCAGAAUGCCAGAUCGCUGCACAUUUUGCAUGCCACUCCAUCAUUGCAACUAGAUCACCUGGGAUGCAUUGAAGGCAUUGCAAAGAAAGGAAUCCAUUUCCCAGAACAAAAUGCACGGCUCUCAUGAAUGAAGUUAUAGGGCCCGCAGUGCAUGAGGAACUAAUAAAUAAAAUUGUGGGGCUCUCGGUUGGCCUAACCCUGCA
Molecule: long non-coding RNA, 304 nt
Organism: Oncorhynchus kisutch (coho salmon)
Lineage: Eukaryota; Metazoa; Chordata; Actinopteri; Salmoniformes; Salmonidae
Exons: 2
Source: RefSeq, a predicted model, not a curated record